GACGAACGCUGGCGGCGUGCUUAACACAUGCAAGUCGAACGGUGACCCAGGGCUUGCCCUGGUGAUCAGUGGCGAACGGGUGAGUAACACGUGGGCAACCUGCCCCUGACUUCGGGAUAACUCCUCGAAAGAGGAGCUAAUACCGGAUACGACCACUUCGGACAUCCGAUGGUGGUGGAAAGUUUUUCGGUCAGGGAUGGGCCCGCGGCCUAUCAGCUAGUUGGUGGGGUAAUGGCCUACCAAGGCGACGACGGGUAGCCGGCCUGAGAGGGCGACCGGCCACACUGGGACUGAGACACGGCCCAGACUCCUACGGGAGGCAGCAGUGGGGAAUAUUGCGCAAUGGGCGAAAGCCUGACGCAGCGACGCCGCGUGAGGGAUGAAGGCCUCGGGUUGUAAACCUCUUUCAGCAGGGACGAAGCGAAAGUGACGGUACCUGCAGAAGAAGACACCGGCUAACUACGUGCCAGCAGCCGCGGUAA
Molecule: ribosomal RNA, 482 nt
Filed under: uncultured bacterium
Lineage: Bacteria
Description: bacterial SSU rRNA
Rfam family: Bacterial small subunit ribosomal RNA
Source: RNAcentral